AUGGCCUCAAUGUUUGGCUCAUGGCAUAUACAUAAUCAACCAUUUUAUUAAAAAAAGAAUGAAUGAGUAUUACAUCUAAUGAAGUCAGUGUUUAAUGGAAGUUAAACAGGUAACAAUUAAUUCCUAACUGCAGUCAGCACACAACUCUUAAGUGAACAUUUUCAGCUUUUCUUCAUUUUCGCUAUUUACAGAGAGAUCAGUGCUUCAGAAAGUUCUUGUGAUUUUGCUCAGAGACUGAGUUUUUCUUCAGUGUCAGAAGGUCUACUGCAAAUAUCAAAUGGCUGCAUGACCCUGGGCUGGAGAAAGUUCUGAGUGGAGUUUCUAGGUGAAAGAAGCCAGGUUACCUGAAUGUCUAUGCGAAGCCAAGCACUUGCCACCAAAAAUCCAGACUGUAAAAUGAAUUUAUUGUGUUAAAUUAGAUUUGGGGGGGAGAUUGUUUGCUGCAGUAGUCUGUCAGUAAUAAUACAACUUUCUCCCAAAGCCUUUGUGAUAUAGCCAAAAUUGUCUUUGAAGGAAUACAUAUUGUUUCAAAUGCAUUCUAGUUUUCAAAAUACCCAAAUAAAAGAAUUCAGAGCUCACUUUAAAAAGUCA
Molecule: long non-coding RNA, 591 nt
Filed under: Vulpes vulpes (red fox)
Lineage: Eukaryota; Metazoa; Chordata; Mammalia; Carnivora; Canidae
Description: lncRNA (ENSVVUG00000008378.1)
Source: RNAcentral